This 432-nucleotide long non-coding RNA is filed under the name Bemisia tabaci. RNAcentral describes it as "lncRNA ENSSSA1UGG010613". Lineage: Eukaryota; Metazoa; Arthropoda; Insecta; Hemiptera; Aleyrodidae. The record is from RNAcentral.
AAUUCAUUGAUGACCUGUGAGAGUAAGCUAAAAGAUAUGAAAAUUAUUCAUAAAAUUGCUCGAGAUUGUCAAAAAAACAUUAUGGAUCUUGAACGCACUUUACAUUUCUCUAAGAAGAAAAUGCAAAAACUAGCAAAAAGUUUGAAAUUGGAAGAUCGGCAAGAAUCUGAAAUGAAGGAAAGGCGGGAGGCUUUUGUACAUGAAGAUGCUAAAACGAAAUUGAACAGACUUUUAUUAGAGCAGUUGCUGAAGCAAAAUUCUGAGAAUUUUGAAAGAAAAGAAAGGAUGCAAUCACAAUUAGAACAAGCAGAGAAAGAGUACCAAGGUCACAUCUUAAAAUCAUUAGGUGUGAUCAAGGAAGCCUCUAAUUCGUUUAAGAAGGUAAGUAAGGAAAUUUUUCACGAGGAACAGAUCUAUACUAUAUUCCUGUAG